This 460-nucleotide ribosomal RNA is filed under the name uncultured bacterium. Its description in RNAcentral is "partial 16S ribosomal RNA". It matches the Rfam family "Bacterial small subunit ribosomal RNA", at positions 338 to 795 of the family's 1533-position model. The record is from RNAcentral.
CCUACGCGUGGCAGCAGUGAGGCAUAUUGGUCAAUGGGCGAGAGGCUGCACCAGCCAAGUAGCGUGAGGGAUGACUGUCCUAUGGAUUGUAAACCUCUUUUAUCAAGGAAUAAAGUGACCCACGUGUGCCUGUUUGAAUGUACCUUAUGACUAAGCAUCGUCUAACUCCGUUCCAGCAGCCGCGGUAAGACGGAGGAUACUAUCGUUAUCCGGAUUUAUUGGGUUUAAAGGGUGCGUAGAGGGGUUGUUAAGUCAGGUGUGAAAGUUGGGGAGUCAACCGUAACAUUGCAUUUGAUACUGGUGGUCUUGAGUAGAGUAGAGGUAGGCGGAAGUCGUGGUGUAGCGGUGAAAUGCUUAGAUAUCACGAAGAACUCCGAUUGCGAAGGCAGCUUACCAAACUGCCACUGACAUUGAUGCUCGAAAGUGUGGGUAUCGAACAGGAUUAGAUACCCUAGUAGUC